This is a non-coding RNA of Xyrichtys novacula (pearly razorfish), 633 nucleotides long. The record is from the annotation of a GenBank genome assembly. NCBI's taxonomy places the organism in Eukaryota, Metazoa, Chordata, Actinopteri, Labriformes, Labridae.
GCCUGUGCCACCAUGUGCCCCCCCCAUCUCCUCCCUCUGCCAGCCAUGUUGGCUCUCGCCAGCAGCAGAAGGUGCGACUUUCCUUCUCAAGCUUUGACAAGCAGACGAAGAGGAGGGGUGAGGAGCGGAGGGCCCCUGUGAGGGAUGACGGGAGCCCAGCUGAUGGACAGAGGUGCUAACCCCAUCGUCGGGCAGGGGGGAGAUAGCAGCGUUCUUGUUUACACACACUGAGGCCCGAUUGUCACCUUGUCUGUCAGGGGAACAUCCUAUCUGCCGCCUCUUAUCUUGCCACAAGACAGCCAGCUACUCUGCUGGAGAGACCUGCUGCAUCUCCACAUCACCACAAAUCAUUUCUCUCACCUAUACCUCUGUUGUAUCCCAUAUUAUUUUCUCCUUCUCUUCCUCAGGUACUUCUAUACACUCGUCCUCCUGUCCUCAAAUAGCCUCCGCUCACACGCACUUGGCGAACUCUUCAGCAUUGGUUGAUGGUGACCCUUUGGCCCAGUCCUCGCAGGAGCCGCUGAAGUGUUUAAAUUAUCCACAAAAAGUGCUUUGUGGGAAGAAAACUUGUCAUGACAACCAAGUGUUGGCGUGCUUUAUUCAAAAGUGAGCAGCCUAUUCGAUUAAACAGUG